RNAcentral lists this ribosomal RNA (1530 nucleotides) under uncultured bacterium. Its description in RNAcentral is "bacterial SSU rRNA". It matches the Rfam family "Bacterial small subunit ribosomal RNA". The record is from RNAcentral.
AGAGUUUGAUCCUGGCUCAGAACUAACGCUGGCGGCGUGCCUAACACAUGCAAGUCUAACGAGAAAGUUGGCUUCGGCCAAUGAGUAAAGUGGCGCACGGGUGAGUAACACGUGGAUAACCUUCCCUUCAGUCAGGAAUAACCUACCGAAAGGUAAGCUAAUACCUGAUCCUACGGAUCCACUGCGGUGGAUUCGUCAAAGAUGGCCUCUGCUUGCAAGCUAUCGCUGUUGGAUGGGUCCGCGUACCAUUAGCUAGUUGGCAGGGUAAUGGCCUACCAAGGCUCUGAUGGUUAGCUGGUCUGAGAGGAUGACCAGCCACACUGGAACUGAGACACGGUCCAGACUCCUACGGGAGGCAGCAGUGAGGAAUAUUGCGCAAUGGGGGAAACCCUGACGCAGCGACGCCGCGUGAGUGAGGAAGGCCUUCGGGUCGUAAAGCUCUGUCAGAUGGGAAGAAAUUGCUGGAUGCCAAUACCAUUUAGCCUUGACGGUACCAUCAGAGGAAGCACCGGCCAACUCCGUGCCAGCAGCCGCGGUAAUACGGAGGGUGCAAGCGUUGUUCGGAAUUAUUGGGCGUAAAGCGCGUGUAGGCGGUAGGGUAAGUCAGAUGUGAAAGCCCUGGGCUCAACCCAGGAAGUGCAUUUGAAACUGCUCUGCUAGAGUGUGGGAGAGGAAAGUGGAAUUCCUGGUGUAGAGGUGAAAUUCGUAGAUAUCACGAGUAACACCGGUGGCGAAGGCGGCUUUCUGGCCCUUCACUGACGCUGAGACGCGAGAUCGUGGGGAGCAAACAGGAUUAGAUACCCUGGUAGUCCACGCUGUAAACGAUGUUCACUAGGUGUUGGAGGUAUUGACCCCUUCAGUGCCGUAGCAAACGCAUUAAGUGAACCGCCUGGGGAGUACGGUCGCAAGAUUAAAACUCAAAGGAAUUGACGGGGGCCCGCACAAGCGGUGGAGCAUGUGGUUUAAUUCGAUGCAACGCGCAGAACCUUACCUGGGCUUGACAUCCCAAGAACCCUGAUGAAAGUCGGGGGUGCCCUUCGGGGAGCUUGGAGACAGGUGCUGCAUGGCUGUCGUCAGCUCGUGUCGUGAGAUGUUGGGUUAAGUCCCGCAACGAGCGCAACCCUUAUCUUUAAUUGCCAGCAUUCAGUUGGGCACUUUAAAGAAACUGCCGGUGUCAAACCGGAGGAAGGUGGGGAUGACGUCAAGUCCUCAUGGCCUUUAUGCCCAGGGCUACACACGUGCUACAAUGGACGGUACAAAGAGCAGCGACCUCGCGAGAGGAAGCAAAUCUCAAAAAGCCGUUCUCAGUUCGGAUCGAAGUCUGCAACUCGACUUCGUGAAGUCGGAAUCGCUAGUAAUCGCGGAUCAGCACGCCGCGGUGAAUACGUUCCCGGGCCUUGUACACACCGCCCGUCACACCCUGAAAGUUGAUUGCACCAGAAGUCGUUGAGCUAACCCUGGAGCUUGCGAAAGGGAGGCAGGCGCCGACGGUGUGGUUGGUGAUUGGGGUGAAGUCGUAACAAGGUAGGC